This 496-nucleotide ribosomal RNA is filed under the name uncultured bacterium. Its description in RNAcentral is "partial 16S ribosomal RNA". It matches the Rfam family "Bacterial small subunit ribosomal RNA", at positions 28 to 506 of the family's 1533-position model. The record is from RNAcentral.
GAUGAACGCUGGCGGCGUGCCUAAUACAUGCAAGUCGAGCGAACAGACGAGGAGCUUGCUCCUCUGACGUUAGCGGCGGACGGGUGAGUAACACGUGGAUAACCUACCUAUAAGACUGGGAUAACUUCGGGAAACCGGAGCUAAUACCGGAUAAUAUAUUGAACCGCAUGGUUCAAUAGUGAAAGACGGUUUUGCUGUCACUUAUAGAUGGAUCCGCGCCGCAUUAGCUAGUUGGUAAGGUAACGGCUUACCAAGGCGACGAUGCGUAGCCGACCUGAGAGGGUGAUCGGCCACACUGGAACUGAGACACGGUCCAGACUCCUACGGGAGGCAGCAGUAGGGAAUCUUCCGCAAUGGGCGAAAGCCUGACGGAGCAACGCCGCGUGAGUGAUGAAGGUCUUCGGAUCGUAAAACUCUGUUAUUAGGGAAGAACAAAUGUGUAAGUAACGAUGCACGUCUUGACGGGACCUAAUCAGAAAGCCACGGCGAACUACGU